This 512-nucleotide ribosomal RNA is filed under the name uncultured bacterium. Its description in RNAcentral is "partial 16S ribosomal RNA". It matches the Rfam family "Bacterial small subunit ribosomal RNA", at positions 28 to 507 of the family's 1533-position model. The record is from RNAcentral.
GAUGGACGCUGGCGGCGUGCCUAAUACAUGCAAGUCGAACGAAACUUCUUUAUCACCGAGUGCUUGCACUCACCGAUAAAGAGUUGAGUGGCGAACGGGUGAGUAACACGUGGGCAACCUGCCCAAAAGAGGGGGAUAACACUUGGAAACAGGUGCUAAUACCGCAUAACCAUAGUUACCGCAUGGUAACUAUGUAAAAGGUGGCUAUACUACCGCCUUUGGAUGGGCCCGCGGCGCAUUAGCUAGUUGGUAGGGUAAAGGCUUACCAAGGCAAUGAUGCGUAGCCGAAUUGAGAGGUUGAUCGGCCACAUUGGGACUGAGACACGGCCCAAACUCCUACGGGAGGCAGCAGUAGGGAAUCUUCCACAAUGGGCGAAAGCCUGAUGGAGCAACGCCGCGUGGGUGAAGAAGGUCUUCGGAUCGUAAAACCCUGUUGUUAGAGAAGAAAGUGCGUGAGAGUAACUGUUCACGUUUCGACGGUAUCUAACCAGAAAGCCACUGCUAACUACGUG